RNAcentral lists this ribosomal RNA (462 nucleotides) under Streptococcus mitis. Its description in RNAcentral is "bacterial SSU rRNA". It matches the Rfam family "Bacterial small subunit ribosomal RNA", at positions 28 to 474 of the family's 1533-position model. The record is from RNAcentral. Lineage: Bacteria; Bacillati; Bacillota; Bacilli; Lactobacillales; Streptococcaceae.
GACGAACGCUGGCGGCGUGCCUAAUACAUGCAAGUAGAACGCUGAAGGAGGAGCUUGCUUCUCUGGAUGAGUUGCGAACGGGUGAGUAACGCGUAGGUAACCUGCCUGGUAGCGGGGGAUAACUAUUGGAAACGAUAGCUAAUACCGCAUAAGAGUAGAUGUUGCAUGACAUUUGCUUAAAAGGUGCAAUUGCAUCACUACCAGAUGGACCUGCGUUGUAUUAGCUAGUUGGUGAGGUAACGGCUCACCAAGGCAACGAUACAUAGCCGACCUGAGAGGGUGAUCGGCCACACUGGGACUGAGACACGGCCCAGACUCCUACGGGAGGCAGCAGUAGGGAAUCUUCGGCAAUGGACGGAAGUCUGACCGAGCAACGCCGCGUGAGUGAAGAAGGUUUUCGGAUCGUAAAGCUCUGUUGUAAGAGAAGAACGAGUGUGAGAGUGGAAAGUUCACGGGGUGACG